UACAGGGGGUGCAAACGUUGCUCGGAAUUAUUGGGCGUAAAGCGCGCGUAGGCGGCUACCUAAGUCGGAUGUGAAAGCCCCUGGCUUAACUGGGGAAGUGCACCCGAAACUGAGUAGCUAGAGUGCGAAAGAGGGUCGCGGAAUUCCCGGUGUUGAGGUGAAAUUCGUAGAUAUCGGGAGGAACACCGGUGGCGAAGGCGGCGACCUGGGUCGACACUGACGCUGAGGCGCGAAAGCGUGGGGAGCAAACAGG
Molecule: ribosomal RNA, 253 nt
Filed under: uncultured bacterium
Lineage: Bacteria
Description: partial 16S ribosomal RNA
Rfam family: Bacterial small subunit ribosomal RNA
Source: RNAcentral